Molecule: long non-coding RNA, 400 nt
Organism: Crotalus tigris (Tiger rattlesnake)
Lineage: Eukaryota; Metazoa; Chordata; Lepidosauria; Squamata; Viperidae
Exons: 3
Source: RefSeq, a predicted model, not a curated record
AUUUCUCAAUUUAUGUGUUAUUCUAUGUAUCCAUUUACCAUGAUAGAACAUACAUCUCCUUUUGGCUGGGGAGCGACAGGAGGAUUUGCCAAUGGAAAAGCAAUAGCAGGAGCCAAUGGAGUUGGGAUCAGUGUCAAGCCUUUGUGAGAACCUGUCAUCUUCCACACCACUAAUAUUCAAACUCAUUUUAGGAUUAUAUGUAUGAGGAUAAAGAGAUUCAACUAAUCGUUUGUAUUCUUGCGCACUCUGGGAAGAAAGUAAAGCUUACAGCUGCAUGUAGCAAUGUUUCAAUAUCUCAGGGGCUGCCACAAAGAAGAGGGAGUCAAGCUAUUCUCCAAAGCCCCUGAAGGCAGGACAAGAAGCAACGGAUGGAAACUAAUCAAGGAGAGAAGCAACCUAG